UACAUAGACCUCAAGCGUUGUCCGGAAUUACUGGGCGUAAAGCGUGCGCAGGCGGUGAUGUAAGACAGUUGGGAAAUCCCCGGGCUCAACCUGGGAACUGCAUCUGUGACUGCAUCGCUGGAGUGCGGCAGAGGGGGAUGGAAUUCCGCGUGUAGCAGUGAAAUGCGUAGAUAUGCGGAGGAACACCGAUGGCGAAGGCAAUCCCCUGGGCCUGCACUGACGCUCAUGCACGAAAGCGUGGGGAGCAAACAGG
This 253-nucleotide ribosomal RNA is filed under the name uncultured bacterium. RNAcentral describes it as "partial 16S ribosomal RNA". It matches the Rfam family "Bacterial small subunit ribosomal RNA", at positions 524 to 776 of the family's 1533-position model. The record is from RNAcentral.